UACGGAGGGUGCGAGCGUUGUCCGGAAUCAUUGGGCGUAAAGGGCGCGUAGGUGGCCCGGUCAGUUCGUGGUGAAAGCCCCGGGCUCAACCUGGGAACUGCAUUCAAAACUGACAAGCUAGAGUAUGGUAGAGGGUGGUGGAAUUUCCUGUGUAGCGGUGAAAUGCGUAGAUAUAGGAAGGAACACCAGUGGCGAAGGCGACCACCUGGACUGAUACUGACACUGAGGUGCGAAAGCGUGGGGAGCAAACAGG
This 253-nucleotide ribosomal RNA is filed under the name uncultured prokaryote. RNAcentral's name for it is "partial 16S ribosomal RNA". It matches the Rfam family "Bacterial small subunit ribosomal RNA", at positions 524 to 776 of the family's 1533-position model. The record is from RNAcentral.